This 425-nucleotide ribosomal RNA is filed under the name uncultured bacterium. RNAcentral describes it as "bacterial SSU rRNA". It matches the Rfam family "Bacterial small subunit ribosomal RNA", at positions 354 to 796 of the family's 1533-position model. The record is from RNAcentral.
GUGGGGAAUAUUGGACAAUGGGCGCAAGCCUGAUCCAGCCAUGCCGCGUGAGUGAUGAAGGCCUUAGGGUUGUAAAGCUCUUUUGUCCGGGAAGAUAAUGACUGUACCGGAAGAAUAAGCCCCGGCUAACUUCGUGCCAGCAGCCGCGGUAAUACGAAGGGGGCUAGCGUUGCUCGGAAUCACUGGGCGUAAAGGGCGCGUAGGCGGCCUCUUAAGUCGGGGGUGAAAGCCCAGGGCUCAACACUGGAAUAGCCUUCGAUACUGAGAGUCUUGAGUUCGGAAGAGGUUGGUGGAAUUGCGAGUGUAGAGGUGAAAUUCGUAGAUAUUCGCAAGAACACCAGUGGCGAAGGCGGCCAACUGGUCCGAUACUGACGCUGAGGCGCGAAAGCGUGGGGAGCAAACAGGAUUAGAUACCCUUGUAGUCC